This 468-nucleotide ribosomal RNA is filed under the name uncultured bacterium. RNAcentral describes it as "partial 16S ribosomal RNA". It matches the Rfam family "Bacterial small subunit ribosomal RNA", at positions 28 to 507 of the family's 1533-position model. The record is from RNAcentral.
GACGAACGCUGGCGGCGUGCCUAACACAUGCAAGUCGAACGGAAAGGCCCUGCUUUUGUGCGCUUCCCGAUUGGCGAAGGGGUGAGUAACACGUGAGUAUCCUGCCCUUCACUUUGGGGUAACUUAACGAAACUGGAGCUAAUCUCGCAUAGGAUCUCCCGCUCCAUGGUGGGCAUUGGAUCGUUUCGGUGGUUGGGGAUGGACUGGCGGCUUAUCGGCUUGUUGGUUGGGUGGUGGUUUACCCAGCCUUUCACGGGUAGGCGGCCUGGGAGGGUGACCGGGCACAUGAGGACUGAGGUAGGGCCCAGACUGGAACGGGAGGCAGCGGUGGGGAGUAUUGCACAGUAGGCUGAAGCCUGAUGCAACAACGCCGCGUGCGGGAUGACGGCCUGCGGGUUGUGAACCGCUGUCGCCUGAGACGAAGCGUGAGUGACGGUACUGGGUAAAGAAGCACCGGCUAACUACGUG